RNAcentral lists this non-coding RNA (30 nucleotides) under Mus musculus (house mouse). The record is from RNAcentral. Lineage: Eukaryota; Metazoa; Chordata; Mammalia; Rodentia; Muridae.
UGAACUGAUGAUUUCCUGACAAUGGAGAUG